Molecule: small nucleolar RNA, 85 nt
Filed under: Caenorhabditis japonica
Lineage: Eukaryota; Metazoa; Nematoda; Chromadorea; Rhabditida; Rhabditidae
Description: Caenorhabditis snoRNA ceN80
Rfam family: Caenorhabditis snoRNA ceN80
Source: Rfam by way of RNAcentral
UUGCGAUACAUGGAAUAGAAAUUGUGGCCAGGUUUCUUCAAAUGCCCCAAAUUUGGACUUGAAGUUACAAUGUCAUUGUACAAUA